RNAcentral lists this long non-coding RNA (2376 nucleotides) under Manduca sexta (tobacco hornworm). Its description in RNAcentral is "uncharacterized LOC119192968". The record is from RNAcentral. Lineage: Eukaryota; Metazoa; Arthropoda; Insecta; Lepidoptera; Sphingidae.
UAUGUAACCCCAUCUCAAUAAGGUACUUGUCUUUUGUAAUGUAUUAUAAGGUUUUCUGGUAGUUUCAUUUAUUAAGAUUAUACUGUUUGCGGCCAAAUUAUUAGAGUUCUAUCUAAGGUAUUUGGAAUUGUGAUAAUUUUUUCGUAUAUUUUCAUACAAGUUUGCCCAUUUUAUGAAAGUUAUUUUUCCUUGUUUCUUUGUACAAUAUUUUAUUUUGGCCUGAUUGAAAUCUGACAAUAUCAGAGCAUUAAGAUUAAUAUCUUUUGGUGAUUAUGUUAAGCCAUAGUUAUAAUUAUAUUUAACAUAAGGCAAUGGCUCAGUUUUGUAAUGGUUUGCAAUAGGCAUUUAUUACUUUAAUAUUAUACUUUGUGGCUUAGAUGAGUGUAAUUAUAAUAAUGCUUGUUACUAUGUAUUUUUAAUCACUAUGUUAUACUGAAUGGACAAAAGGAUACAUGUAGUUACUUCUUCCUUUUGGACAGACAAGUAAUAGUAGUUAUUAUGAAAUAAAUAAAUGCACAUCAUUAAAUAUUGUAUUUGUAAUAAUAUAUAUUGUCUUUAUUAGAAAAUUUCUAAUAUUUAUAAAGUAUUGGCAACUAUAAGUCUGACUCAAUAGCAUGGAUUUAUUCAAUUAUGAUUCUAGAUAUAUUUUCUAUUACAAAGCUUUUGAUCUCUAAACUGAAUAUAUUUUGUAAUUUAUUUUCUACUAAUUAGUUUUUAAUAGGUGCUACUGUCUCUGUAAUAUGUAAUAUAUGUCAUAUUGUAGUCUGGCUAUAAAAAUAAAAUAAUGUUUGUAUCAAUGUAAUAUGUUUGCAGUAUUGUUCUUUUUAUUAAUAUUAUGACUAAAGAAUGAAUUGGGUUGAAAUUCAGCAAUACAUUGUAAUGUAUCAUCUAUAGGUACUAAGUAUCCUAAAAACUGUUUGGCCGACUGUUUUUUAAAAGAGGAGUAUAAUAACUAAGUAUAUUUAACUAGAUAAGCCAUAAUAUGUAAUAACCAAGGUCACUGUAUUUAGUGUGAACCAAGCAGUUGCAAACAUGUUUAACCCAUUGUAAAUGUCUGGGUGUAUUUAUAUUGGUGAAGGAUAUACCAUAACCAAGGUCACUGUAUUUAGUGUGAACCAAGUAGUUGCAAACAUGUUUAAACCAUAGUAAAUGUCUGGGUGUAUUUAUGUAGGUGAAGGAUAAUUACCAUAACCAAGGUCACUGUAUUUAGUGUGAACCAAGUAGUUGCAAACAUGUUUAACCUAUAGUAAAUGUCUGGGUGUAUUUAUGUAGGUGAAGGAUAUACCAUAACCAAGGUCACUGUAUUUAGUGUGAACCCAGUAGUUGCAAACAUGUUUAACCCAUUGUAAAUGUCUGGGUGUAUUUAUGUAGGUGAAGGAUAUACCAUAACCAAGGUCACUGUAUUUAGUGUGAACCAAGUAGUUACAAACAUGUUCAACCCAUUGUAAAUGUCUGGGUGUAUUUAUAUUGGUGAAGGAUAUACCAUAACCAAGGUCACUGUAUUUAGUGUGAACCAAGUAGUUGCAAAUAUGUUUAAACCAUAGUAAAUGUCUGGGUGUAUUUAUGUAGGUGAAGGAUAUACCAUAACCAAGGUCACUGUAUUUAGUGUGAACCAAGUAGUUGCAAACAUGUUUAACCUAUAGUAAAUGUCUGGGUGUAUUUAUGUAGGUGAAGGAUAUACCAUAACCAAGGUCACUGUAUUUAGUGUGAACCAAGUAGUUGCAAACAUGUUUAACCCAUUGUAAAUGUCUGGGUGUAUUUAUGUAGGUGAAGGAUAUACCAUAACCAAGGUCACUGUAUUUAGUGUGAACCAAGUAGUUGCAAACAUGUUUAACCCAUUGUAAAUGUCUGGGUGUAUUUAUGUUGGUGAGGGAUAUACCAUAAGUAAGGUCUGUGUUUUGUGUGAAACGAGUACUGUCUAUCUAAAAUCUAUAGUAUAGAAAUAAGAACCUAUUAUUUGAUGGUCUAUGAAUUGGAAUAUGCUCAUGUUAAAUUUAUUCUUAGUCAGUCUUAGGGGAUAUGACUUGAUGAUAUUGUAAUAAUCUCUUUGUAAUAUGUAAUGAAGACUUACUUAGCAUGUACUUAUUAAGUCAGAGUUUUUUAGAACAACAUUUAUUUAUUGAAUAAUCCUUGUGAAUCAAUUUUGGUAAUAUUUUUUUAUUUUAAUAUGGCUGUGUUUGUCACAAUCUGGCUUCAAUAUGUUCAGCUAUUUUUGCCUAAUCUAUUCAUGUAAGAGUAAAGUUUUCUUGGCUAGGGUGUAUGUCCUAUGGUCAAAUACACUAUAUGUUAUAACUGGGUGUGUUCCCGAUAUAUCUAUUCUACAUAUAUUUUAAAGUAUCUAGGUGAUUUUUAUGGAAAUAAAGGUUUCAAAUGGUA